AGUCAUAUGCUUGUCUCAAAGAUUAAGCCAUGCAUGUCUCAGUACAAGCCGAACUAAGGUGAAACCGCGAAAGGCUCAUUAAAUCAGUUAUGGUUCCUUAGAUCGUACCCACACUUACUUGGAUAACUGUGGUAAUUCUAGAGCUAAUACAUGCCAAUAGAGCUCCGACCGGAGACGGAAGGAGCGCUUUUAUUAGAUCAAAACCAAUCGGCGACGGGUCUCACUCGUCGUCGUACACCUUGGUGAAUCUGAAUAACUUUCUGCUGAUCGCACGGUCCAGCACCGGCGACGCAUCUUUCAAAUGUCUGCCUUAUCAACUGUCGAUGGUAGGUUCUGCGCCUACCAUGGUUGUAACGGGUAACGGGGAAUCAGGGUUCGAUUCCGGAGAGGGAGCCUGAGAAACGGCUACCACAUCCAAGGAAGGCAGCAGGCGCGCAAAUUACCCACUCCCGGCACGGGGAGGUAGUGACGAAAAAUAACGAUACGGGACUCAUCCGAGGCCCCGUAAUCGGAAUGAGUACACUCUAAACCCUUUAACGAGGAUCAAUUGGAGGGCAAGUCUGGUGCCAGCAGCCGCGGUAAUUCCAGCUCCAAUAGCGUAU
RNAcentral lists this ribosomal RNA (602 nucleotides) under Ennometes sp. FC_223. RNAcentral describes it as "SSU rRNA". It matches the Rfam family "Eukaryotic small subunit ribosomal RNA", at positions 22 to 602 of the family's 1831-position model. The record is from RNAcentral. Lineage: Eukaryota; Metazoa; Arthropoda; Insecta; Coleoptera; Callirhipidae.